This is a long non-coding RNA of Clupea harengus (Atlantic herring), 2185 nucleotides long. The record is from Ensembl. Lineage: Eukaryota; Metazoa; Chordata; Actinopteri; Clupeiformes; Clupeidae.
CAAGCUGUUCCGUUCCACGCUCACAAGCAGAACACACACCUAAAACCACGCCUAGCCGGCUAUAGACAUGUACGUGUUGCCCAGCCCCCCCCCCCCCCCCAAUCAGCGCUUCCCUCGGUUAGAACUUCAUUUAAAGGAACAUCACAGCUCUUUGAGGAUGACUUUUGUUCCUUGUGGCUAGAGGGUUCUGACCCUGGUCCUGGUGGGUGCGGCCGCGGAACCAGAGGCCCCCCUGGAGAACAUCUAAUCUCAGGGUUGGGGAACCAGAGGCCCCCCUGGAGAACAUCUAGUCUCUGGGUUGGGGAACCAGAGGCCCCCCUGGAGAACAUCUAGUCUCUGGGUUGGAUUCUGUCAGAGAUACUGUAAGAGAUUCCCUACACUAUUGUGUAAUCCCAUGACUGUUACACUGGGUGAGACACGAGCUAAGGAAUACCUGGGGAGCGGACUGGACCGGCGUUAACUUCACGUGUGUAUGGGGAGGGGGAGCGGACUGGACCGGCGUUAACUUCACGUGUGUAUGGGGAGGGGGAGCAGACUGGACCGGGGUUAACUUCACGUGUGUGUGUGUGUGGAGCGGACUGGACCGGGGUUAACUACACGUGUGUGUGUGGGGAGCGGAGCGGACUGGACCGGGGUUAAACACACGUGUGUAUGGGGAUCGGACUAGACUGUGGUUAAAUACACGUGUGUGUAUGGGGUGGAGAAAUGAAAUUCCUUAGAAGAGAAAAAAAGUGCAUAUUAUUAAAAAAAAAAAAAAAAAAAAAAAAAAAAAAAGAGAAAUAAGUAAAACCAAAACAUCCUGGAAGUAUUUGAGCGAUGAUGCCUUCCGGUGAUUAUUCAGUCCAGAUACGUCUUUCAGAAGCAGCAGCAGCAAAAGGUGAUUGUGGUUAACUACAGUAUAAUCUUGCAGUGUGAUUAACAUGUUUUAAGGAUUGGCAUCUCAUACCCCACUGUGGGCGCCCGCCCCCCCCGCCCCCCGCCCCCUGCCCCCCGCCCACAGACUCACUCUGCUCAGGGCAAUCAAGUAUCCAUUACACAUCUUACCCCAGAACACAAUUACCUUAUCAUUUACUUAGCGCUGUGUGCUACACACAUCAAAUCGGAGAGAGGGGAAGAAACUACUCCUGCGGAGAAUCGCUCAAACCCUCACACACACACACACACACACACACACAACUCUGCCCUGAGCCACGGAUGUGUGUGUGUGGCGUCCCUCGGAUACCUCCCAUCACCUACGCAUCGCUACGGUAACAGGCGGCACGACGACACGCACCACUUGUCUCCUAGGGGAAACCGGGGGAAAGACUGAUACUGCGUCUAACAGCGUGGCUGCAGUCAGGAGAGAGCACGGCGCCACCUGCUGGCGGGAGGACUGAUGUACAGGACGCUGCCAUGAGAUGUAUGAAGGUCCAAAACACAGGAUGUGGGCCGUGAGCGACUGAGCGAUAAAGAUGAGUACAACCCCCACCCCUAACCCUACCCCCUCUCCCCCCCACCCCUUUAAAAAGAAAGACCUUUAGGAGCAUCUGAGGUUGUUUAAUACCUAAAGCCCACCUCUGGGGGGCGAUAAAGGUUUUUUUGGCUCUACAGUCCAGCCGAUAGCGCGGCAUGUUAUUCACUAGUGAAUGAGUGUGUUGACACACACAAGCCUGAGUACACUGUGUGUGUGUGUGUGUGUGUGUGUGUGUGUGUGUGUGUGUGUAGCUAUGGCUGGAAGGAUAAUUGCCUGCAUGCCCUCCCACCCAACUUAACCCCCCUGGAAAGAGGCCACAGCCCCUCUACCCCCCACAUGGGCAGCGGCGAGCCAAUCAGAGCUCUUCCUGCUCUACCCGACUCCCAUGUUGUCAUUUACCUAAACCAACAUCGUCACGACAACCAGACGCCCCUACCCUCCCCCUCCCCUUACAGACACAUAGGGCAUUGGAGAGAGGUGUGUGUUUAUGUGUGUGUGUGUGUGUGUGUGUGUGUGUGUGUGUGUGUGUGUGCGUGUGUGCGUGUACAUGUGUGUGUUGCAACACCUCUCCCCCACUAUCAGGGAAGUUCAGUACAGACAUGGAUGAGUUCCUUGCCAUCCUCCUGCAAGCGGACCUACACACACACACACACACACACACACACACACACACACACACACACACACACACACACACACACACACACACACACACACACACGGAGAAAAGAA